Molecule: ribosomal RNA, 467 nt
Filed under: uncultured Pseudomonas sp.
Lineage: Bacteria; Pseudomonadati; Pseudomonadota; Gammaproteobacteria; Pseudomonadales; Pseudomonadaceae
Description: bacterial SSU rRNA
Rfam family: Bacterial small subunit ribosomal RNA
Source: RNAcentral
UUGCACAGAAGCUUGCUUCUCUUGAGAGCGGCGGACGGGUGAGUAAAGCCUAGGAAUCUGCCUGGUAGUGGGGGAUAACGUUCGGAAACGGACGCUAAUACCGCAUACGUCCUACGGGAGAAAGCAGGGGACCUUCGGGCCUUGCGCUAUCAGAUGAGCCUAGGUCGGAUUAGCUAGUUGGUGAGGUAAUGGCUCACCAAGGCGACGAUCCGUAACUGGUCUGAGAGGAUGAUCAGUCACACUGGAACUGAGACACGGUCCAGACUCCUACGGGAGGCAGCAGUGGGGAAUAUUGGACAAUGGGCGAAAGCCUGAUCCAGCCAUGCCGCGUGUGUGAAGAAGGUCUUCGGAUUGUAAAGCACUUUAAGUUGGGAGGAAGGGCAUUAACCUAAUACGUUAGUGUUUUGACGUUACCGACAGAAUAAGCACCGGCUAACUCUGUGCCAGCAGCCGCGGUAAUACAGAGG